UGGUUUACAUGAUACUAACACUACUGGGAUAAAUAAAUAAAACCAGGCAAGCUUGCGAAUUCUGGAGCCGGGGGGACAUCACAGCACCGGUCCAGAAGCUGCCUCGUUCCUCGUUAGCCUGCAAUCAUGGACCCGGGGUGAAAGGAUAUAGCAUCCGUACAGCAAACUUCCGGGAGAGAGUUUAUCAUGUCCGGCAGUCACAUUAAUCAGUUCCUGCGGUAAAGAGAUGGAAGGGACAAAAUGAUGAAUAUUAUCACUCUAAAACUUCUAGUGUCUAAAACAUAGCUACUGUGAACUAUGUUGUUUCGGUAUGUAUAUAUCCAAUUGAAGCAUUUACAAGCUAUGAUGUGUUUCCUUUAUUGAUUCAGCUGCUUUGGAUUAGUUUUCUUAGUAAACAAUUCUGUCAGCUGCAUCAGGACACUAGGCUGCAAAGCACCUAAAUAAUGAUGAAAUUAGUGACCAUGAAACAAACCUUUGUGAGGCAGAUCUUUGGGGAUAGGAAUAACCUGCAUACAGAAUACCUCUCGCGUUACCUGCACAUCCCCCAUACCAUCAUAAUUUUACCAUUUUGCACAUUUUGAGAAUCUUAAAAAUAUAAGAAGACUGCCUUUAAACUUUUUUAUUUAUGAUAACAGUACAAACAUGUGGAUGGGAUUUUAAAUUGGUACUCCUUCUGUUCAGAAAUAUAAAAUGUUUUGGAUAUUUCAACAUGGACUACAUUCAGACUGAAAUGAGUGAACAAACACACUAAAACGUGUCUAUACAUCCGAUUCACAAGAUAGUGUUGCAGAACAUCUUAUAUUUGUGAACUAAGGGAGUGCAUGCUAGGAAAAUAAACUGAUAUACUUCAUCAGUUCACAAUUAUAAGAUGUUCCAACGUUUUUCUGGUCCAGAUGUAUAUAGACGGAUUUUAGUGUCUUUGCUCACUCAUUUCAGUAUGUAUGUAGUCCAUAUUGAAAUAUCCAAAACAUUUUAUAAUUAUGAACGGAGGGAGCACAUUACAAAAGAAAAUGUCAACACUUUUCUUGACUAUUUUACACAUAGAUGAGUAUAAGAGUUAACCUACCAUGCUGUGUGUGCCCUAUCAUUUAACAUUGUCAUUUCAUACUCUGCAUAUACAAAUUUAUCUAUUAUGACGCAUGUGCUUAUUAUUUAACAAGAACAAACAACUGAGUUAGAAAGUUGUGCAAAUUUGUGUGUUCGUCAUGAGCUCAGAACUGGUUGCUUACCGAGUCAUAUGCGGAGAAUUUAGUUUUAUUGUGUACCAAGUGGCUAAUCAGCAAUCAGAGACUAUGUAGCUAGUACUGACUGUUUGAAAACUUCAUAUAAGAACAUACUCCCUCCGUUCCCUCCGUUCCUAAAUAUAAGUCUUUUUAGAGAUUCAACUACAAACUACAUACGGAUGUAAUAUAGACAUAUUUUAGAGUGUAGAUUCACUCAUUUUGCUCCGUAUGUAGUCUAUAGUGGAAUAUCUAAAAAGACUUAUAUUUAGGAACGGAGGGAGUACAUGGCAAAAUGAGAAUAUGCCAAUAGGGUUACUUUGCCCUUUGUUUUAUUCUCUUUUAUUUAAGGAAACAUAUAAAUCGAGCCCAUCCAAACAACCGCUGCUUGUUGUGAACCUGCAGUUGCUCUGUUGAUUAAUGUUGCAUUGUUGCUCUUGUUGAUUUGUUGCAUGGCAUGGCUGGGUCUAAAAGUAAGAAUGCUAAUGUUGACAGCGAGGAGGGUUGUAGGAGGCUUCUAGCUAGAAGUGCUUCAGCAAUUGGCUUCUAAUUUCAAAACCAAAAAGUGGAGUCAAGAAUGCAAUUGUGCUGUGUUAUUUCUUCAAGGCAGAAAUAAAACAAGACCAAAAUCAAAAGAGAGGUCUGCAUGUCCGCAUGUUCGUCACGAGUUAGAACUGGUUGCUUACGUUUUUCUAUUAUCACAACUGCAGUGAGUCUCGCAAUCAGAGGGUCAGGUCGGUGGUAUAGAUGGUUGCAUGUCAGGUUUACGACCACCAUCCCACUAGCGUGACUAAUCAGCGAUUAGGCAUAGGACAUUUAAUAGCACUGCUAAGUGUCUAAAAGGUGCAUAUAAGAAGUACUCCCUCUGUCUCAUAAUACAAGAUUUUUUGACACUGUGAUAAGUGUCAAAAAACAUCUUAUAUUAUGAGACAGAUGUAGUAUAUAUAUGGCUAAAGAGAAUACGCCAAGUGGGUUACUUUGCCCUGCCUUCUAUUCUUCUUUAUAUACUCCUACAAGGAAAAGUUACUACACAAACAAACAACUAGGUAGGGUGCGUGCACAGAUUCUGUCUGCGUGUUAGAUAGGCAGCAAGCUGCAAACGGUCCAGCCCUGAGAUACAAUUUGCUUACUUGUCGACAAGCCUAGGCUCGCACAGGAAUCGUCAGCUUACUGAUUCCAAGAAGAGUGGCAUCAACUUGCAAAGCUUCAGUCUGCACCGGCCUCGAAUUAGGCACUGAUGAAAAUAUACCCUAAGUCCCAUCGUCUUGCCUACCAAGGCUUUGAAAUCCCGGCAAAAAACCAAUUCACUCCUGCAAAGGAAGAUUGGAGGAUAAGAUUAAUAACCAGCCUCAGCGGAUCAGUAUAUCGACCGUAGAUCACUAAAGCGAGCAGCCUAACACAAAUUACCGAGGAAACGAACC
Molecule: long non-coding RNA, 2641 nt
Filed under: Triticum aestivum (bread wheat)
Lineage: Eukaryota; Viridiplantae; Streptophyta; Magnoliopsida; Poales; Poaceae
Description: long non-coding RNA (TAES_LNC003492)
Source: RNAcentral